Molecule: ribosomal RNA, 427 nt
Filed under: uncultured bacterium
Lineage: Bacteria
Description: bacterial SSU rRNA
Rfam family: Bacterial small subunit ribosomal RNA
Source: RNAcentral
UGGGGAAUUUUGGACAAUGGGCGAAAGCCUGAUCCAGCAAUGCCGCGUGGGGGAAGAAGGCCUUCGGGUUGUAAACCGCUUUUGUCAGGGAAGAAACGAGUUUCUCUAAUACAGAGACUUAAUGACGGUACCUGAAGAAUAAGCACCGGCUAACUACGUGCCAGCAGCCGCGGUAAUACGUAGGGUGCAAGCGUUAAUCGGAAUUACUGGGCGUAAAGCGUGCGCAGGCGGUUAUGCAAGACAGAGGUGAAAUCCCCGGGCUCAACCUGGGAACUGCCUAUGUGACUGCAUAGCUAGAGUACGGUAGAGGGAGAUGGAAUUCCGCGUGUAGCAGUGAAAUGAGUAGAUAUGCGGAGGAACACCGAUGGCGAAGGCAGCCUCCUGGGCCAGUACUGACGCACAUGCACGAAAGAGUGGGGAGCAAACA